This is a non-coding RNA of Ictidomys tridecemlineatus (thirteen-lined ground squirrel), 72 nucleotides long. The record is from Rfam. Lineage: Eukaryota; Metazoa; Chordata; Mammalia; Rodentia; Sciuridae.
GGGGAUGUGGCUCAAGAGGUAGCGCGCUCGCCUAGCAUGCGUGCGGCCCGGGUUCGAUCCUCAGCAGCACCA